Molecule: ribosomal RNA, 272 nt
Filed under: uncultured Staphylococcus sp.
Lineage: Bacteria; Bacillati; Bacillota; Bacilli; Caryophanales; Staphylococcaceae
Description: partial 16S ribosomal RNA
Rfam family: Bacterial small subunit ribosomal RNA
Source: RNAcentral
CGUUAGCGGCGGACGGGUGAGUAACACGUGGGUAACCUACCUAUAAGACUGGGAUAAUUUCGGGAAACCGGAGCUAAUACCGGAUAAUAUUUCGAACCGCAUGGUUCGAUAGUGAAAGAUGGUUUUGCUAUCACUUAUAGAUGGACCUGCGCCGUAUUAGCUAGUUGGUAAGGUAACGGCUUACCAAGGCGACGAUACGUAGCCGACCUGAGAGGGUGAUCGGCCACACUGGAACUGAGACACGGUCCAGACUCCUACGGGAGGCAGCAGUA